GACGAAAGCUGGCGGCGUGCUUAACACAUGCAAGUCGAACGGAAAGGCCCUGCUUUUGUGGGGUGCUCGAGUGGCGAACGGGUGAGUAACACGUGAGUAACCUGCCCUUGACUUUGGGAUAACUUCAGGAAACUGGGGCUAAUACCGGAUAGGAGCUCCUGCUGCAUGGUGGGGGUUGGAAAGUUUCGGCGGUUGGGGAUGGACUCGCGGCUUAUCAGCUUGUUGGUGGGGUAGUGGCUUACCAAGGCUUUGACGGGUAGCCGGCCUGAGAGGGUGACCGGCCACAUUGGGACUGAGAUACGGCCCAGACUCCUACGGGAGGCAGCAGUGGGGAAUAUUGCACAAUGGGCGGAAGCCUGAUGCAGCAACGCCGCGUGCGGGAUGACGGCCUUCGGGUUGUAAACCGCUUUCGCCUGUGACGAAGCGUGAGUGACGGUAAUGGGUAAAGAAGCACCGGCUAACUACGUG
This 468-nucleotide ribosomal RNA is filed under the name uncultured bacterium. RNAcentral describes it as "partial 16S ribosomal RNA". It matches the Rfam family "Bacterial small subunit ribosomal RNA", at positions 28 to 507 of the family's 1533-position model. The record is from RNAcentral.